AACGAACGCUGGCGGCAUGCCUAACACAUGCAAGUCGAACGAGACCUUCGGGUCUAGUGGCGCACGGGUGCGUAACGCGUCGGAACCUGCCCUUAGGUUCGGAAUAACUCCCCGAAAGGGGUGCUAAUACCGGAUAAUGUCUUCGGACCAAAGAUUUAUCGCCUUUGGAUGGGCCCGCGUUGGAUUAGCUAGUUGGUAGGGUAAAAGCCUACCAAGGCGACGAUCCAUAGCUGGUCUGAGAGGAUGAUCAGCCACACUGGGACUGAGACACGGCCCAGACUCCUACGGGAGGCAGCAGUGGGGAAUAUUGGACAAUGGGCGAAAGCCUGAUCCAGCAAUGCCGCGUGAGUGAUGAAGGCCGUAGGGAUGUAAAGCUCGUUUACCCGGGAUGAUAAUGACAGUACCGGGAGAAUAAGCUCCGGCUAACUCCGUG
This 433-nucleotide ribosomal RNA is filed under the name uncultured bacterium. RNAcentral describes it as "partial 16S ribosomal RNA". It matches the Rfam family "Bacterial small subunit ribosomal RNA", at positions 29 to 507 of the family's 1533-position model. The record is from RNAcentral.